RNAcentral lists this ribosomal RNA (467 nucleotides) under uncultured bacterium. RNAcentral describes it as "partial 16S ribosomal RNA". It matches the Rfam family "Bacterial small subunit ribosomal RNA", at positions 29 to 507 of the family's 1533-position model. The record is from RNAcentral.
ACGCACGCUGGCGGCGUGCUUAACACCUGCAAGUCGAACGGAAAGGCCCUGCUUUUGUGGGGUGCUCGAGUGGCGAACGGGUGAGUAACACGUGAGUAACCUGCCCUUGACUUUGGGAUAACUUCAGGAAACUGGGGCUAAUACCGGAUAGGAGCUCCUGCUGCAUGGUGGGGGUUGGAAAGUUUCGGCGGUUGGGGAUGGACUCGCGGCUUAUCAGCUUGUUGGUGGGGUAGUGGCUUACCAAGGCUUUGACGGGUAGCCGGCCUGAGAGGGUGACCGGCCACAUUGGGACUGAGAUACGGCCCAGACUCCUACGGGAGGCAGCAGUGGGGAAUAUUGCACUAUGGGCUGAAGCCUGAUGCAGCAACGCCGCGUGCGGGAUGACGGCCUUCGGGUUGUAAACCGCUUUCGCCUGUGACGAAGCGUGAGUGACGGUAAUGGGUAAAGAAGCACCGGCUAACUACGUG